CUGCAGCACCGCACUUGCCACUCGGAGAAAAUGCUUUGAAAGCCCAGACAGCCACAUACCAUUAGAAACAGUGACUCUUCUGCAGCUCCAAUGCAACUCUUCUGUGGCCCUGAUGUGACUGUUCUGCGGCUCUGAUGCGACUGCUCUGUGGCCCCGAUAUGACUAUUCUGCGGCCCUGAUGCCACUCUUCUGCAGCUCUAUGAGACUGUUCUGCAGCUCUAUGAGACUCUUCUGCAGCUCUAUGAGACUGUUCUCCAGCUCUAUGAGACUGUUCUGUGGCUCUGAUGUGACUCUUCUGCAGCUCUGAUGUAACUGUUCCGUGGCCCUGAUCGACUGUUCUGUGGCACCCACAUUCUUCAGAGCCACACUCAGAUGGAAGCUUUGCUGUGUGCAGGGGAUGAAACCAACUGUCAUUCAUCCUGCUGGAGGCCAGGAUGUCUGCCACACCCCCCGGGGCUGCCCCCUGCCUGUCUUUCCUGAAGACGUUCUCUCUCUGGCCCUGUUCCCAGGGCAGGCUGAAGGACAAAGGACAGGAAGAUGAGGUUUCAUCAUGUUCCCCAGGCUGGUCUCAUACUCCUGAGUUCAAGCAAUCCACCUGCCUUGGCCACCCAAAGUGCUGGGAUUACAGGUGUGAGCUACUGCGUCUAGCCCUCUUCCAUCGUUUUCAAGGAGGGAUCAGGGGUCAGCUGUUCGCAACUUGGUACGAAUGAGUUUGUCAUUGGAUCACCUCCCUUGGGAGGAAGUCUUGCCCUGGGGAUGUAGGAACAAGAACUAACAUGCUCAGUGCCUCCUAACAGCCCCACUUUACCUAGUGUGUCAAUUCCCCACAGACAAGUAAACUGAGGCCCAGGAAGCAUCGUUGCCUGAGGUUGCCGAGUUGAUAAGCAAAGGUCUCAGUCCCUGUGGACUCAGAGCCUGGGCUUCUCCCCUGGGACCCUGCAGCUCCACCGGCAGUUAUUCCAAUUCUUCCUCAGGUGUUGGAGGCUUGUAUGGAAACUCCUUGCUUCUGUCUCUCGCUCAGCCCUUAGAAAACCUCCAAGAGAUGGCCACUCCUGCCUGUGGUGCAGAGAACGCCCAGGCAGAAGACCCUUGGAGGCUCAGACAGAGAACUCACUGCACUUUCAGUCAUCCUGGGCUGGCUCCCCGGCCCCUCUCACGUUCUUUAUGGAUUUGACCCAAAGUCUUCCAGAUGGAUGGAGCUGUGGGCACUGAGUCUGGGAAUGUCUCAGCCCACCUUGGCUCCCUUCUCCAGCAGGAGUGGAGGUGUGUGAUGUCAAACAGGCCCAGCCUCUCUCUCAGACCCGGUUCUGGGCCCACACAGCCCCUUCUUCCUGAAAGCAGAGGUGGCAGUAAGAGGAUGGCUUUGGCCUUUGAAUGUUCUCAAGCGAUCCAAGUUCAGAGUAUACUGUUGCUGUCCUCUGUCCCUGAAGCUUCUCUCCUACUCCUUGGACAAACUCACUUCUCCCCUCAGGGACUUCUCUCAUGUAGCAGAGUGUACACCUGCUGCCCCAGCAAGGCCUUCACAAUGAUCCAAGCCUGGCCUGUUGCUCCAGCUUCUGGAACCUCCCAUGGCCUUCGGUCUACUUGAAUGCUCCUGAGGCCAGGUAGCUCAUCACUGCCGGAGGACCUGUUGCCACUCACUUCUAGCCACAAGAAAUGUCUGCCUGUCCUGAGCAAAACCCACCUUGGAGGAACUUCUUUACUCCCUUGUUGAAUUUUUGGCUCUACCAAAUAAACAUGAAUUGCUUCCCUGUGAAAGACCU
This is a long non-coding RNA of Homo sapiens (human), 1763 nucleotides long. Ensembl annotates it as ZNF295 antisense RNA 1. Its record names the gene ZNF295-AS1. The record is from Ensembl. Lineage: Eukaryota; Metazoa; Chordata; Mammalia; Primates; Hominidae.